Homo sapiens (human) is the source of this 1944-nucleotide long non-coding RNA. RefSeq lists it as uncharacterized. NCBI's taxonomy places the organism in Eukaryota, Metazoa, Chordata, Mammalia, Primates, Hominidae. The transcript is spliced from 6 exons. The record is from RefSeq and is a predicted model, not a curated record.
CUGCUCACUCUUUGGGUCUGUGCCAUCUUUAAAAGCUGUAACACUCACUGCGAAGGUCCAUGGCUCCAUUCUUGAAAUCAGCAAAACCACAAACCCACUGGCAGGAACCAACUCUGGACACAUCUUGGGAGCUCCUCUGGGAUAUUGUCAUGUGAUGGGAAACACUCAGGCAUCAACAGGCUCACCCUUGAAAUGCAUCCUAAGCCAUUGGGACCAAUUUGACCUGCAAAUCCUGAAAAAUAGAAUCUACAAAAUACCUCCCAUGGUAACAAGAAAACAACACACAAUCAAAACAAAUGAAGUGCUUCCCAAACACCAUCUUCUUCAAGGGAGGAGACCAGCACGGAGUCACUACAAGUUGUUUCUUCUACCAACGGUACCACAAAUGGCCCCAAAGGCCCAAAUGGGAUUCAAAAUGGAGUCAGUGCUGUUACAAUAAGAUCUUCUACUCAAUAAAGAAGCAAAAGUACUCACAGCAGAGUGGGAUUGCUGUGAGAAGGAGCCAUGUAAGUAAUUUUCUCAGGAGAUAAGCAUCAAGCAAAGCCCAAGUGAGGGACAUACUACAAAAUACCUGACCACUACUGUAAACUGUAAGGUGGGCAAAACCAAGGAAAACGUGAGUAAGAGUCGCAGCCAAGAAAAGCCUGUGGAGACAUGACUACUCAAUGCAACAUGAUAUCCUGAUGAGACUCUGGAAGACAAAAAGAAUAUUAAAUACAAUAUAAGGAAAUUUGAAUAAGUUGUGAACUUUAUUUAAUAACAUAUUGUAUGGGUUCAAUAAUUGUGACAAGUAUACUACAGCAACAUAAGAUACUACAUAGGGAAACUGUCAAAUAUAUAGGAACUCUUUGUACUGUCUUCACAAUUUUUCUGUAAUUAGAAAACUAUUGUAAAAGAAAACUGUAUUUUAAAAAAGCAUUGUUAUAUUAAAAAUGACACAAAACAUGUGCAGCAGAUGUGGGUUGGAGCCAGAAAUUCUGCAUUUGUAAUAAGCCUACGGUGCUCUUUCUGUUGCUGGUGCUGCUUGCCUGGGUCUCAUGGAGUGGCAGGCAUAGAGUGGCCUCCAGGUCAGGAGAAUGGGCAUCAUGUGGAACUUGUUAGACAUACAAGUCAUUUCAUGUCAGAUCUAUCGAAUUAGAAAGUCUAGGGUUGGGGCCCAGCAGUAUGUUUUAUAGCAACCCCUCCAGAGGUGCUGAUGCGAAUACAUAAGGAAAAUUGAUCUAAAAUCCACCACUAGCAUGUUAUUCUCUCCCCCUUUUUUGUUGGAGUGGGAGUGGAAGAUAAGUUGGAGGUAAGGGUGUAUAUUUGAAAAGUUAAUUCACUGAAUAAAUAGUUAUAAAAAAUUUACAUCUUGAGACUGAAUUUCAUGCUAAAGAAAUGGAUUUAUGCAAUUUGUCCAUGAACGUCUAGUCACUGCUUAUGCAAGCUUUCCAUGGCUGUUCAUUGACAGAAGGUUGGCUGAUUUAUAUCACCACAUAAAAAGAGCAUAAAUAAUAAUUUAUCAAUCAUUUGUAUCUCCUGAAAGAUCUACAAAUUAUAUUUUACAAAUUAAAAAUAAAUUACUAUUGGAUUCCCGAUCAGCUCAGGAAUUGGAUUCCUGAUUCUAGCUCAGUCAUCUAGAGGUUUAAAUGUAUCUUUUUAUUGAAUUUUUUGUUUAGUUACUAGAUACACAUAUAAAGGAUGUAAUUUUUUAAAAUAUAUCAUAUAAUAGCUUUUAAUUUCAUUUUUGUUUUUCUUGUAUAACCUAUUCUCUAUAUACUCACGUAUUUUGGCUUAAUAGUAUGUUUGAUAAUUUAUUCAUGUUGAUAUGUCCACAAAUAUAUUGGAAUUUCAUAAAAAUUUCUUUGGCAAAGAAGGCACAACUUUCCUGUUCUUCAGAGGAUUGUUCCUUUCUGAUAUUUGUAAUUACAAACGAUGAUAAAAUAAAAACAUUGUACAAAUCUA